GCCAGUGUGGCUCAGUAGGUUCGAGUGCUGGAUAUUAUUACUGAGGUUGAGGGUUCAAUUCCUACAGAUGUCA
Molecule: non-coding RNA, 73 nt
Organism: Phlegmacium glaucopus
Lineage: Eukaryota; Fungi; Basidiomycota; Agaricomycetes; Agaricales; Cortinariaceae
Source: the annotation of a GenBank genome assembly